This 750-nucleotide ribosomal RNA is filed under the name uncultured bacterium. RNAcentral's name for it is "bacterial SSU rRNA". It matches the Rfam family "Bacterial small subunit ribosomal RNA", at positions 28 to 790 of the family's 1533-position model. The record is from RNAcentral.
AAUCAACGCUGGCGGCGUGCCUCAGACAUGCAAGUCGAACGAUUAAGACUUCCUUCGGGAAGUGCAUAAAGUGGCGCACGGGUGAGUAACACGCAAGUAAUCUACCCUCGAGUGGGGAAUAACGUUCGGAAACGGACGCUAAUACCGCAUAACGCAGCGGCACCGCAAGGUGACAGUUGUUAAAGGAGCAAUCCGCUUGAGGAGGAGCUUGCGGCAGAUUAGCUAGUUGGUAGGGUAAUGGCUUACCAAGGCUACGAUCUGUAUCCGGUCUAAGAGGACGGUCGGACACACUGACACUGAAUAACGGGUCAGACUCCUACGGGAGGCAGCAGUCGGGAAUUUUGGGCAAUGGGCGAAAGCCUGACCCAGCAACGCCGCGUGAAGGAUGAAGUAUUUCGGUAUGUAAACUUCGAAAGAAUAGGAAGAAUAAAUGACGGUACUAUUUAUAAGCUCCGGCUAACUACGUGCCAGCAGCCGCGGUAAUACACAGGGAGCAAGCGUUGUUCGGAUUUACUGGGCGUAAAGGGCGCGUAGGCGGCGCGGUAAGUCACUUGUGAAAUCUCUGAGCUUAACUCAGAACGGCCAAGUGAUACUGCAGUGCUAGAGUGCAGAAAGGGCAAUCGGAAUUCUUGGUGUAGCGGUGAAAUGCGUAGAUAUCAAGAGGAACACCUGAGGCGAAGGCGGGUUGCUAGGCUGACACUGACGCUGAGGCGCGAAAGCCAGGGGAGCAAACGGGAUUAGAUACCCCGG